CUUCCUCCUUCCAAUGCGCCGGCCACGCGCACACACCCUCGUGCUGGGAUUGGUGGAAGAGCCCAGGGCUCGCUCGCGGCAGAUGCCCUUUCUGUCGAGUGCCGGGACAAGGCAUCGGGCGCUCCUCCUGCAUCGCGGUGUGCCAGAAAGCAGGCAAAAUGAGUCAAAUAUAGAGAAGAAUGGUUGCAGGAUUAUCUCAGGAACAUAGCUGGCAGCCAAACGGAAACACAAGAGAUUCUGCAGACACUGGAAAGUGAAAAUCAAUCUUAUCUAUGACAGAGUUUGGAUGGGAGUGCUUUGGAAUGUCUGAAAAUAUCCUGAUGCAGACGCUAGAUUACGGGACAAGGCAAACAGCAGAGACAAGUGUAGAAAUAAUGACCGGAAGCUCAUGGACAAAAGGGAGAGCAUUGGUAGUGGCCAGAAGCUUGGGAAUGUGGAGAGAAAAAAUAUAGCCUUUGGAGAGAUCCUGGGCAACAAUGAAUUGGGUGAACAAGAGUGCCCGGCUUCUGAUAGAAUGAAGAAGCAAAUGCCUUCUUUGUUCUCUUGCACUCUUAAUGAAAAACGUAUGUGAAGAGGUCUCUGCAGGACCCCUACAUAAUUCUGAAGACCUCUAAUGAUCAACUUUCAGUGUUUCUCUUUCUAGACAAAAGAGUAUAAGGCUAUUUGGUCUUUUCUCUUAGUUCUGGUGUUAUCCUUGUAAAUUUUUUUGCAUCUUCUCAUGUGCCUAUAUAUCUUUCAUAAUGUAAAGAUAACAGAAUUGUACACAGUUUAGUUUAUUCCAAAUGCAAUUUCAAUUUAACUUAACUUCUUUGUUUUACAUUCUAUUCCUCUAGAAUUUUGAAUAAUAUUUCUCUUGAAAUUGCACUUGAAUAUUUUAUAAUUGUUAAGGUGAAGGAUGAUUGAAAUUGUGGGAAAUAUAUGCAUAGAUUUGCUUUUAAAUGGUGAUGGUGUCCCCCUCUCCAUGAUUCUGUUGAUACACAACUUGCAAUUUGUUUGGGUGCAGUAUAUCAUCAUCACACCUUAUUUGUGGCUCAUUCUUAAAGGAUUGCCUCGGAACAAGCAGAAUUUUUGAACUUGACACCUGUGUUAUUCAACACUUGUGAAAACCCUUAAUUUAAGUGGUAGACUAUUGUUUUAGGUUCAAACCUUCCCAAAAGAAUGAUCUGUCCAAAAUGAUUAAAGGUUUAUUCAGAAAAUAUCAAGUUUGACCAUUACUCAGAGAAAGGUUAAGCAGUAUUAAUUUCUCCAUUCCUUUCAGUAGAUCAAAAUUAUUUAAGUAUUAUUUUUCUAAAAUAUUCUUUGUUCUACAGAGUUUUUGAUCUAAUACUUCUUACACUAUUCUUUUUAAACACUUUUGAGAUCUUGAAGAAUCAUUUGAAGACGCAUAUUUUAACUAUUCAAGUUUUUUGUAUCUAUUACAUUUCAAGUUGAGUGAAUGCAACACGUUGGAAUGCUUACUGCAUUAUGUGAUUAGUAAUUAUUUACUUAAUUAUUUGCGGCAAACUAAAACUUCAUUGUGAAAAUGAUUUUCAGCAACUGCCUGUCAAAAGCAUGUUUUGCCCCAGUUCUUGACAAACAAAUUAAAAUUUUUAAUAAGUCAAAUAUUCAGUUACAGGUAAAGACCUGGAUCUGUUUACUCACUACUUGUAGAAAAAUCAUAUAUUUAGCUUUUUAACAGGGAAUGCAUGUUGCCCUCUUCUUCUUCCAUUCUCUAGUAUUUUAUAGCUAUCAAUGUUGAUUUUUGAUCAUUUGUUACAGUUUGAUUUUUAAAGAAACUGUUAAUGCUCAUUCCUAAAAUGUUCUCUCUCUGUAGUGUAUACCAGCCAUUGUAGGUAACAGAAAUUUUGUUACUUGGUUAUUUGAAAUUCCAAAUAUAUCAUCUGUAUCUCUUUCAAGAGACACAAGUUGUUCCUAAAUUAGUGACUCUUACUUAUGGCUAUAUAUUCAGAUGAUCAUUUAUUAUU
This is a long non-coding RNA of Pristis pectinata (smalltooth sawfish), 1964 nucleotides long. RefSeq lists it as uncharacterized. The transcript has 4 exons. NCBI's taxonomy places the organism in Eukaryota, Metazoa, Chordata, Chondrichthyes, Rhinopristiformes, Pristidae. The record is from RefSeq and is a predicted model, not a curated record.